GGCCCAGAUCGUUUACCGUGAAAAAAAUUAGAGUGUUCAAAGCAGGCAGAUCCAAUUUUCUGCCACCGAAUACAUUAGCAUGGGAUAAUGGAAUAGGACCCUGUCCUCCUAUUUUCAGUUGGUUUUGGCAGCGCGAGGACUAGGGUAAUGAUUAAUAGGGAUAGUUGGGGGCAUUAAUAUUUAAUUGUCAGAGGUGAAAUUCUUGGAUUUAUGAAAGAUUAACUUCUGCGAAAGCAUCUGCCAAGGAUGUUUUCAUUAAUCAAGAACGAAAGUUAGGGGAUCGAAGACGAUCAGAUACCGUCGUAGUCUUAACCAUAAACGAUGCCGACCAGCGAUUAGGAGACGUUGAAUACAAAACACCACCAUCGGCGCGGCCGUCCUUGGCCGUGCGUCUCGUUUCGGCGAGGCGUUUGGCGGGGGCGGCUUAGCCCGGUGGCACCGGUGAAUGACUCCCCUAGCAGCUUGUGAGA
This 470-nucleotide ribosomal RNA is filed under the name Acanthamoeba sp. RNAcentral describes it as "SSU rRNA". It matches the Rfam family "Eukaryotic small subunit ribosomal RNA", at positions 740 to 1095 of the family's 1831-position model. The record is from RNAcentral. Lineage: Eukaryota; Discosea; Longamoebia; Acanthamoebidae.